UGCUUAGGAAUCUGCCUAUUAGUGGGGGACAACAUUCCGAAAGGAAUGCUAAUACCGCAUACGCCCUACGGGGGAAAGCAGGGGAUCUUCGGACCUUGCGCUAAUAGAUGAGCCUAAGUCAGAUUAGCUAGUUGGUGGGGUAAAGGCCUACCAAGGCGACGAUCUGUAGCGGGUCUGAGAGGAUGAUCCGCCACACUGGGACUGAGACACGGCCCAGACUCCUACGGGAGGCAGCAGUGGGGAAUAUUGGACAAUGGGCGCAACCCUGAUCCAGCCAUGCCGCGUGUGUGAAGAAGGCCUUUUGGUUGUAAAGCACUUUAAGCGAGGAGGAGGCUACUGGUAUUAAUACUACCGGAUAGUGGACGUUACUCGCAGAAUAAGCACCGGCUAACUCUGUGCCAGCAGCCGCGGUAAUACAGAGGGUGCGAGCGUUAAUCGGAUUUACUGGGCGUAAAGCGUGCGUAGGCGGCUUUUUAAGUCGGAUGUGAAAUCCCUGAGCUUAACUUAGGAAUUGCAUUCGAUACUGGGAAGCUAGAGUAUGGGAGAGGAUGGUAGAAUUCCAGGUGUAGCGGUGAAAUGCGUANAGAUCUGGAGGAAUACCGAUGGCGAAGGCAGCCAUCUGGCCUAAUACUGACGCUGAGGUACGAAAGCAUGGGGAGCAAACAGGAUUAGAUACCCUGGUAGUCCAUGCCGUAAACGAUGUCUACUAGCCGUUGGGGCCUUUGAGGCUUUAGUGGCGCA
Molecule: ribosomal RNA, 741 nt
Filed under: activated sludge bacterium GC_R2A_S_20
Lineage: Bacteria
Description: bacterial SSU rRNA
Rfam family: Bacterial small subunit ribosomal RNA
Source: RNAcentral